Molecule: ribosomal RNA, 442 nt
Filed under: uncultured bacterium
Lineage: Bacteria
Description: partial 16S ribosomal RNA
Rfam family: Bacterial small subunit ribosomal RNA
Source: RNAcentral
CCUACGGGUGGCAGCAGUGAGGAAUAUUGGUCAAUGGACGAGAGUCUGAACCAGCCAAGUAGCGUGAAGGAUGAAGGCUUUCGGGUUGUAAACUUCUUUUCUGGGGGACGAACAAAUGACGGUACCCCAGGAAUAAGCCACGGCUAACUACGUGCCAGCAGCCGCGGUAAUACGUAGGUGGCAAGCGUUAUCCGGAUUUAUUGGGUGUAAAGGGCGUGUAGGCGGGAAUGCAAGUCAGAUGUGAAAACUCAGGGCUCAACCCUGAGCCUGCAUUUGAAACUGUGUUUCUUGAGUGCUGGAGAGGCAAUCGGAAUUCCGUGUGUAGCGGUGAAAUGCGUAGAUAUACGGAGGAACACCAGUGGCGAAGGCGGAUUGCUGGACAGUAACUGACGCUGAGGCGCGAAAGCGUGGGGAGCAAACAGGAUUAGAUACCCGUGUAGUC